AGAAUCAACGCUGGCGGCGUGCCUAACACAUGCAAGUCGAACGAGAAAGUGGAGCAAUCCAUGAGUAAAGUGGCGACCGGGUGAGUAACACGUGACUAACCUACCUUUGAGUGGGGGAUAACAUCGGGAAACCGAUGCUAAUACCGCAUAACAUCGCAAGAUCAAAGCAGCAAUGCGCUUAAAAGAGGGGGUCGCGGCUGAUUAGCUAGUUGGCGGGGUAACGCCCACAAGGCGAAGAUCGAUA
RNAcentral lists this ribosomal RNA (244 nucleotides) under uncultured bacterium. RNAcentral describes it as "partial small subunit ribosomal RNA". It matches the Rfam family "Bacterial small subunit ribosomal RNA", at positions 26 to 285 of the family's 1533-position model. The record is from RNAcentral.